GAAGGUAUAGCUCAGUGGUAGAGAGCAUGCUUAGCAUGCAUGAGGUCCUGGGUUCGAUCCCCAGUACCUUCU
RNAcentral lists this transfer RNA (72 nucleotides) under Camelus bactrianus (Bactrian camel). It matches the Rfam family "tRNA". Rfam says of the family: Transfer RNA (tRNA) molecules are approximately 80 nucleotides in length. Their secondary structure includes four short double-helical elements and three loops (D, anti-codon, and T loops). Further hydrogen bonds mediate the characteristic L-shaped molecular structure. tRNAs have two regions of fundamental functional importance: the anti-codon, which is responsible for specific mRNA codon recognition, and the 3' end, to which the tRNAs corresponding amino acid is attached (by aminoacyl-tRNA synthetases). tRNAs cope with the degeneracy of the genetic code in two manners: having more than one tRNA (with a specific anti-codon) for a particular amino acid; and 'wobble' base-pairing, i.e. permitting non-standard base-pairing at the 3rd anti-codon position. Lineage: Eukaryota; Metazoa; Chordata; Mammalia; Artiodactyla; Camelidae. The record is from Rfam by way of RNAcentral. RNAcentral also lists the same sequence under 2 other names.